AGGAAAAGAAACUAACAAGGAUUCCCCUAGUAACGGCGAGUGAAGCGGGAUGAGCUCAAAUUUAAAAUCUGGCUGGUUUACUAGUCCGAAUUGUAGUUUAAAGAAGCGUUUUCGGUGGCAGCCUGGGUAUAAAUCCUUUGGAACAGGGUAUCAUAGAGGGUGAGAAUCCCGUCUUUGACUCAGUGCAUGCUACUAUGUGAUACGUUUUCAAAGAGUCGAGUUGUUUGGGAAUGCAGCUCAAAAUGGGUGGUAAAUUUCAUCUAAAGCUAAAUAUUGGCGAGAGACCGAUAGCGAACAAGUACCGUGAGGGAAAGAUGAAAAGAACUUUGAAAAGAGAGUUAAACAGUGCGUGAAAUUGUUGAAAGGGAAACGCUUGACACCAGUCAUGCGAGCGGAAAAUCAGUCUUUUGCGGUGGGGAGAUGUGUGGGUUCGGACCGCAAGGCCGGCCUGCGCUUCAUCUCUGCCGUAAGUGAUGCACUUUUUCGUUUGCAGGCCAACAUCAGUUUCUUCUGCUGGACAAAACUCUUGAGAAGGUAGCAGCUUAGGCUGUGUUAUAGCUCUUGAGCGAUACAGUGGAGGAGACUGAGGUUUUCGCAGCGCGUGCUCUCGGGCAAGGCUGAUUGGGUGCUAUGGGAUCGUUCGGUGUACAAUGCAUGCAUUUUGCGCCGUGUCUUUUCUAUACUCGCUCAACUCGGCU
This 698-nucleotide ribosomal RNA is filed under the name Mortierella alpina. RNAcentral's name for it is "eukaryotic LSU rRNA". It matches the Rfam family "Eukaryotic large subunit ribosomal RNA", at positions 54 to 654 of the family's 3401-position model. Lineage: Eukaryota; Fungi; Mortierellomycota; Mortierellomycetes; Mortierellales; Mortierellaceae. The record is from RNAcentral.